This 254-nucleotide ribosomal RNA is filed under the name uncultured bacterium. Its description in RNAcentral is "partial 16S ribosomal RNA". It matches the Rfam family "Bacterial small subunit ribosomal RNA", at positions 524 to 776 of the family's 1533-position model. The record is from RNAcentral.
UACAGAGGGUGCAAGCGUUGUUUGGAAUUAUUGGGCGUAAAGGGCGCGUAGGCGGUGCGGUAAGUCUGUAGUGAAAUCUCUGGGCUCAACUCAGAGUCUGCUGCGGAAACUGCCGUGCUUGAGUGUGGGAGAGGUGAGUGGAAUUCCCGGUGUAGCGGUGAAAAUGCGUAGAUAUCGGGAGGAACACCUGUGGCGAAAGCGGCUCACUGGACCACAACUGACGCUGAGGCGCGAAAGCUAGGGGAGCAAACAGG